GCGAGCGUAGUUCAACGGUAGAACAAUGUUCCGAUCUCAUACUAAUGCCUAUAGAUGCAGGUUCGACCCCUGCCGCUCGCG
Molecule: transfer RNA, 81 nt
Filed under: Lactiplantibacillus plantarum
Lineage: Bacteria; Bacillati; Bacillota; Bacilli; Lactobacillales; Lactobacillaceae
Description: tRNA-Ser
Rfam family: tRNA
About the family: Transfer RNA (tRNA) molecules are approximately 80 nucleotides in length. Their secondary structure includes four short double-helical elements and three loops (D, anti-codon, and T loops).
Source: RNAcentral